This 449-nucleotide ribosomal RNA is filed under the name Staphylococcus aureus. RNAcentral's name for it is "partial 23S ribosomal RNA". It matches the Rfam family "Bacterial large subunit ribosomal RNA", at positions 794 to 1246 of the family's 2925-position model. The record is from RNAcentral. Lineage: Bacteria; Bacillati; Bacillota; Bacilli; Caryophanales; Staphylococcaceae.
AAGUGAGCGGAUGAACUGAGGGUAGCGGAGAAAUUCCAAUCGAACCUGGAGAUAGCUGGUUCUCUCCGAAAUAGCUUUAGGGCUAGCCUCAAGUGAUGAUUAUUGGAGGUAGAGCACUGUUUGGACGAGGGGCCCCUCUCGGGUUACCGAAUUCAGACAAACUCCGAAUGCCAAUUAAUUUAACUUGGGAGUCAGAACAUGGGUGAUAAGGUCCGUGUUCGAAAGGGAAACAGCCCAGACCACCAGCUAAGGUCCCAAAAUAUAUGUUAAGUGGAAAAGGAUGUGGCGUUGCCCAGACAACUAGGAUGUUGGCUUAGAAGCAGCCAUCAUUUAAAGAGUGCGUAAUAGCUCACUAGUCGAGUGACACUGCGCCGAAAAUGUACCGGGGCUAAACAUAUUACCGAAGCUGUGGAUUGUCCUUUGGACAAUGGUAGGAGAGCGUUCUAAGG